CCUUGAAGCCCACCCGUUUAACCCGUUUCACCAACCCCAUCUAUCCUUCUUAGUUCUAUCUUUUUCUUCCAACACCAUUCAUGCCCUAUUUUUUCUUUUUUUUUACAUGAACAGAAGAUGUAAAAUUGUAAAUGUCUUUCAAUCCCAAUCCCUAAUCCAUCUUAUAUGCUUCACUGAUGAAAGAAAAUCUAUAAAUUGAUUUCAUACAUUGACGAAUAUCAGAGUGGUGUUCCUGUAUUGUUUCAUUGCUUCUGUUGUUUCAAUUAUUACAAAUUUUUUUUAGUAAUAAGUCCGAAGUUUGAAGCGAUUUCACUAGAAAGAGAUGGGUGACCUUGAUCGAGUGAACUAAAGAGACAUUUUUAGGUGCUUUAUGAUCCGAUUUUAAUACAAUUGAAGCUAUUCAUAUCCAUCUUUAGAUACGGGUGUUUAACUUCUAUUUGUUGGAAUGGUAAAGGUUAUACUUAUCUUCUAUUUGUGUUUUGAUUUGUAAAAUUCUAUUUUAUAAUACGGGUGUAGAUACGGGUGAUCUGCAUAUAAAGGUUAUACUUAAUGUUCAACAAUACUUAUGUCAAAUUUAAAGGUAGCACCUCUAUUUUUCUUCUUACUAUGUAAAUUACUCGCUUCUUAAUUUACAGGCCCUGAGAAUCUUAAUGAUAGUCAUUUUUGUUCUUCUCAACAAAAGCUAUUAAAUUAAUUAUUUAAUUAUUCAGCCACGAUGCUUGCCAAGAAUUUUAGUCCACUAGCGGUUAGUUCGUCUUAGGUCUUACCCUUUCCUUCGACUGAUCUUGUGUAGAGAGUUUUGCUUGUAGUCUCAUUCAACGUCACUUACAGCCAAAUACAGAAGUUAAAAGUGAUCUGAUCACUUCGGCUACAAAACCCAAAAUGUUCGUUAAUUAUCAAAAAUUCAGAUUGCACUUUGGAUGUGACCUCGUCUCUUAAUUACUACUGUAUAUACUUAUUUAUCAUAACCUGUUAGUGAUAUACUAAUACAGUAUAAAUCCAACUCGGGCAUUUGUACUAUUGCAAAAAGGCAGGUUGGGUAAUUGGUAAGAGUGGGUAGUUGUUUAGGAUGAUAAGUUGGUUUGUCUAGAUUUUAGAAUUGCACCUGUAUCUUUCGUUUAGCCAGUUCCAAGAGUCAUGACAUUGUUACUCCACUUGGUAUAGUAUAUAUUAAUACUAACAUGUAAUUUUGUGUGGGUUUUUGACUUUAGAGUUUAGACGAUACUGAUAGAUUAGUUGAUCUAGAAUUUGAACAAGACAUAUGAGAAGUAUUCCAUCAUUUUUCUAGCUCAGAUGCAGAUUCUUCAGUUUUCAUCCAGGAUUUUGCUCGAAGUGCUUUGGUCAAACCCAUCAAAGUCUAUGUGGGUCGAGCAAGAAGCAGCAAAUUUUGAUGUUAUUGACUAUAUAUUCAUAUGUUAUCUUAUACGUACUCAAGUAAUAAUGGAAUGAGAUUCAUUUUUUUCUACCAAAA
Molecule: long non-coding RNA, 1471 nt
Organism: Erigeron canadensis
Lineage: Eukaryota; Viridiplantae; Streptophyta; Magnoliopsida; Asterales; Asteraceae
Exons: 2
Source: RefSeq, a predicted model, not a curated record